RNAcentral lists this ribosomal RNA (464 nucleotides) under Escherichia coli. RNAcentral describes it as "bacterial SSU rRNA". It matches the Rfam family "Bacterial small subunit ribosomal RNA", at positions 11 to 471 of the family's 1533-position model. Lineage: Bacteria; Pseudomonadati; Pseudomonadota; Gammaproteobacteria; Enterobacterales; Enterobacteriaceae. The record is from RNAcentral.
GUUUGAUCAUGGCUCAGAUUGAACGCUGGCGGCAGGCCUAACACAUGCAAGUCGAACGGUAACAGGAAGCAGCUUGCUGCUUCGCUGACGAGUGGCGGACGGGGGAGUAAUGUCUGGGAAACUGCCUGAUGGAGGGGGAUAACUACUGGAAACGGUAGCUAAUACCGCAUAACGUCGCAAGACCAAAGAGGGGGACCUUCGGGCCUCUUGCCAUCGGAUGUGCCCAGAUGGGAUUAGCUUGUUGGUGGGGUAAUGGCUCACCAAGGCGACGAUCCCUAGCUGGUCUGAGAGGAUGACCAGCCACACUGGAACUGAGACACGGUCCAGACUCCUACGGGAGGCAGCAGUGGGGAAUAUUGCACAAUGGGCGCAAGCCUGAUGCAGCCAUGCCGCGUGUAUGAAGAAGGCCUUCGGGUUGUAAAGUACUUUCAGCGGGGAGGAAGGGAGUAAAGUUAAUACCUUUG